RNAcentral lists this ribosomal RNA (255 nucleotides) under uncultured bacterium. RNAcentral describes it as "partial 16S ribosomal RNA". It matches the Rfam family "Bacterial small subunit ribosomal RNA", at positions 524 to 777 of the family's 1533-position model. The record is from RNAcentral.
UACGAAGGGGGCUAGCGUUGCUCGGAAUCACUGGGCGUAAAGCGCACGUAGGCGGAUCUUUAAGUCAGAGGUGAAAUCCCAAGGCUCAACCUUGGAACUGCCUUUGAUACUGGGGAUCUCGAGUCCGGAAGAGGUGAGUGGAACUGCGAGUGUAGAGGUGAAAUUCGUAGAUAUUCGCAAGAACACCAGUGGCGAAGGCGGCUCACUGGUCCGGUACUGACGCUGAGGUGCGAAAGCGUGGGGGAGCAAACAGGG